AUUCCUAUCAAAAUUUGAGAGGUUUGAUUUUUUGAUAUAAUCCUCGGCUUUGCUUCCCAGAAAAACAUCUGUAAUAGAUUUUCCCAUUGAAUUCGCUAAAUCGUAUGAUUUUAUUCCGCUAAUUUCCAAAUAGCACGAAAGAAAAUAUAAUUGAAGUGCGGUCCACUGUUCCACCACUCGAUUUAUAACGUUUUCUAAGGAGAGCCAUCUUGUCAACGAAAUACCUAAUAUUUUGUGCGGUGGUACUGCACAAUAGUCUUGAAAUUCUUUAAAGUUAUUGAUACGAUUAGCACUGCAUAGGUAGAGCAUAGAUGCAACGAAUGACAAGUGCAUUUAAGAAAAAACAUAUUGGAGUUGCUCUUAAGCUUGGCUUGCAGACCAUUCACCUCACCGGCCAUAACACUUGCACCGUCAGUUGACAGUCCAAUUAAAUUUUCAAAUGGAAUAUCAUUUUCAGAAAAAAAUGUCUUAAUGCUGUUGUAAAUGGUUUCAGCGUCACAUUUUAUAAGUUCAAUCAAACCCAAAAAUCUAUCUUUAAUAAUUUUGGAAUUCUUGUCGACAUACCUUACAACUAAAACUAAAGACUUUCUGAAUGAAAUAUCAGUCGUCUCGUCUGUUAUUAAGGAAAAUUUAGUAGUUUGCAGCUCUGAAACUAUUUUCUGCUUCGCUUUUGUUCCUAGCGUCUCUGCAAGUUGAGUUGCUUUCGCUCGUCCGAACUUGAUUGAUUUUGCAAUUUCCGAAUCGGGACAGCAUUCUUUUAUCAGAUUUGGUAAAAAAUCCAUUAAUAAAAAUGGGAGAUUGUGAGUUAUUAAAAAAUGGACGAGCGUGAGCUCAGCCCAAUAAACUUUUUUUUUCAAAACUCGACUUGUCCCGCUGCAAGCACGAAUCAAUUUGUAUUUGAUUUCUUUUUUUUCCAUGUUUUUGAUAUGGCUUUCUUUUCUUUUAU
Long non-coding RNA from Eupeodes corollae, 946 nucleotides. RefSeq lists it as uncharacterized. The transcript is spliced from 3 exons. Lineage: Eukaryota; Metazoa; Arthropoda; Insecta; Diptera; Syrphidae. The record is from RefSeq and is a predicted model, not a curated record.